AUGCAGAAGGGAGCCCAGAGCAUCAGGACACGCGCCCCACGCGGCACCCAGGGUCCUGCAGGCAGCUGGCGACCUCCAAGCAGGGGGAGUGUGGGCGCACAUGCCCCUGGGAGAGGUGGCCGGUGGGGUCCUCCUGUCAGAGCCGCAUCACAGCCUCCCAGGCAAGAGGGGCUCACGGGGUCCUCGCGGUGCCACCAAUCCUGCAGGAGCCACCCCGCGGCUCUGCACAUGCCGCCCUCCUCUCCAGAGCCCUCCUCCGGGGCCCCAGCUGAUCGUCAGUCCAGUUCCAGAAGCUCGAGGGCUGGCAGACUGGGCCUAGCAGGCCACACAGGAGCAACUGGACACGCUGCAAGGGGCCCUGGAGGAGAGCAGACGGCACAGCCAGGCCCUGGCCCAGAGAGGGAAGCUCCUAGAGGAGCAGGUCGCCCACCUGGAACGCAAAUGUCAGGAGGCCAAGGGCGCGCGGGAGCCCUUCCUGCAGGAGUGUAGCUGGAUUUUUAAAGACACAGGACUUCCUUUUUCAGUGGACAUGGACUCUUUGUUUUUCUCAUUGCUGAAGAAGAAAGGAGUCCUUAUUUUUGAAACGCUAUCCUCCUAUCACCGACCGCAUAACUUUCCGGGCAAGACAGGGCCACCAUGUCUCCCGGGCUCUGUAGGACCAGCCCCAAGGGCGAGAGCACAGGGAAGGAAGACAGGGAAGGGAGGGCUGGCCUGGAGGCCCUCAGAGAGGCCGCCCCCACCUGGCACAGGGGCCCACAGGGCAGGGGUAGCAGGGUAGUGGGGGGGGGCCUGGUUUGGAGAAGGGCUUGUGUUCUGCUCCUGCCCCAGCUGCUGACGGGCCCAUCGCCCGCCCAAGGACUUCCAGAAGGAGACCGUCCAUGUCAAGCACCCACAAGGCAUGACCUGGGGCAUCAGUUCCUUCCACCACAAGGAUCACCCACAAGGGAAAAAAGGAGCCCCUACCAGCCUUCCCGUUGAAACUGCUUGCUCCCUCAAUCACUGAUAUUUAACCCCCUGCCCUGGGACUGGCAUGGGGGGAGGGUCACCAAGAAGGGCACUCUACUUGGGCACUUUGCAGCUCGGAGGAAGACGGACAGUGGACACAGAAACUUGCUGAGACGGGGUCAGUGAGUGGGCAGGGCCUGGGAGCUGGUCGCGGGGGCCUGAGUGCCGGGGACCGAGGCUCUAUGAGGCAGGAGGAUGCCGGGAGGGGCAGGCCCAGGAGGCCACCCCAAGAGAUGGAGCCAGUCCCCCGCCCUGCCGGCUUGACACAGGCUGGCACCUUGGCCCUGUGCUCCUUCAGCCCCCUCCCCGCCUGCUCUCAGGGGACCCAGAGCCCUUUCCAGAGCCCUCGAUGUGCUCUGCAGAGUGAAGGCUAGCCUGACCCCACACCCCUGCCACAAGGCCACCGCGAGUUCCGCCGUCUGGGCUCUUGCAGAUGGAGCAGGAGAUGCUGAGGAGGGAAGGGGACAGGGCCCAGCCAGGGGUCGAGAAGGAACAAGGGCAGCAGGACGCGGACAGGGACCUGAGGCCAGACCAGCAGCUGCAGGUCAGCUGGGCCAGUGGGGCUUCGUGUGCCCUAGCCUGGGGGGUGGGCCAGGGCGGGUGCGUCCAGGUGGGUGUGGGUCUCAGAAGGGUGCCCACAUGCCCUCACGACCAUGCCUACACAGAUGGGAAGGACGGGCUGGACGGUCCCUACACUGGACAGAUAAGGAGACAUGGCCCCAGACGACAAUGGGGUCUACCAGGGUCACACCUCAAGUCCCAGACAGAAGUGGAACCAGGACCCAGGGCUCCAUGGACCCCUCCCAGUCUUCUCUCCGAGGCCCCGUGGUGGUGGUAGCAUGGUCAGGGACCUCAUUAGCCAAGCACGGACCAGAAGAGGGAGGCGUGUGGGAAGCACAGGGUCAGACAGGCCUAUGGGCAAGUCCAGGGGCUGCCCCUGUGCAUGUUGGGGGCAUCUCCCCUUCCCCUGCUGGGCAGACCCCUACGUCUAUGCAAGGAGUUGGCAAGGGGAGCAGGGGACAAGAGUCAGCCUGUGAAGCCAGUGGGACCCCCCCGGUCCAGCCAAGCAGAAACUAGGAUGCCAUUAAAACAGCUCUGAGGCCCACCCUGGCAGCCUAGGGAGGGCUCGAGGCCAGAGAAGGCCCAGGGGCUGAACGUGUGUGCUCACCCCUAGGUCUGCUUGCCAGUCCUGGGCUGGGGCCCGAGCCCGGCAGAGGGCAGUGAAGCCAGCUGGGGGCUAGAUGAAGGAAUAGCAGCCCUAAGGGGAGGGCAGGACACCUGCCCUGGGACUCCGCGCAGCUCUCAGGCAGGCGGGCAGCAGUGAGGUGCCCAGGUCCAGAGAGUGGAGCUGGAACCGGCCUGAGCCCCAUGGCCCUGGGAACCGGCAGCCCCACACCAGCGAGACCUGGCCCCGGAGGCCAAGCAGUGUCACGGGGUCUGGCUGCUGGCUGCACAGGUCCUGGAGGAGCACAUGGGGCCAGACCUCCGUGUCCAGGCGGAGAGAGGGGUGCAGAGGGAACCAGCAUCCUGCAGUGGCACCCGCGGCCUAAGGCCUUCCGGCAGUGGGAUCCCGGCACAGCCGCCCAUGGGCUCCAACCACCCCCGGGACUCUCACACUUCCAUCCGGUCACUCCCACCGCUCACUGAGGGGCGGAGCGAGGAUCCUAGGACAGGUCACCACUCUCUCUGUGCCCUUAAGGGGAGUGGUGGGGACAGUUCCUGGGUCAGAGGUCACUGCGUUUAAGUGUCCAGCAGCGCCUGGCACAUGGCAGUUGGAGCAAAGGUGGUCCCUGCACCUGUCCUUCAGAGUCACGAGGGGAGAACAGUGGCAUAUGUGGCCUUGGGCGUGGACCCACUCUGCCCCCCUCCCCGCCACGCACCUGCUGGGGCUGACCCUCGGGCUCUGAGCCAUCAGGCACCUGGGAGCCCUCGGUCAAAACCCUCAUUUUACAGCUGAGGGAACUGAGACCCAGAAAGGUAGAGUGACCACCCAGUGCCACCCCCAAAUUAGUGUUCCUAACCCCCCGAGCCCCAUUUGCCAAACCGUGAAGCCAAGGAGCAUGUAUUUCCUUAUUACCCUGAGUGCUUUUGCUGCCUGCGUGGAGCAGGGGGUCUGUCCACUGCAGGCAUGCAAGUCCCUCAGUCCCUAGGACCCGCACACGUGGUUGGCGUCCCCGUCUGGCAGCUGGCGAGCCCGUCGGCCUGCCUAAUGUUUCUCUCCCACACACGCCCCCUCCCCUCAGCAGCCACAGAGCUCUGCACACCCCGUGCCGGGGGGCCCUGGCCGCGGGGCCUGCCCUCCCCACCCAAGCUCCUGCCCUGUCCCCAGGUGGUCAGUCUGAAGAAGCAGCUGGACCAGGAGGUGCCUCGGCAGCAACGAGCCCGCCUCGGCCAGGCUUCCCAGGCCGAACAGUGAGCCCUGCUGCAGAAUGCCCCCUGGGCGGCCUGCCCACCACAGCCGUGACCAGCCAGAGGCAACGGAGCCCCCGCCAGGAACACAGAGGCCUCGUGCCAUCCCGAGAGCGUGGUGCGGGCAGCCACAGCCCGGAGCCCACCACACCUUCCCCAGGGGCCCUGUGUCAGAGGCACCCUGCGACCACUGAGCACAGAGCUCCUCCCGGCCCUUGGGACCCCGUGCUCCAGGACGCCCCUCGGCCACGCCCCCCCGCUGCACGGAGCCCCCACAGCCCGCACCCGGCCUGGCACUGUUUCCACUCAGGACGCGCUGAUCUGGGCAGACCCUGGUAGCCAGGCCCCGUCCGGCCAGCUUCCGUGGCCACAGGCUGCAUUCCAUGCCCUCAGCUCUAUAAACACGGGGAAACACGUGGAACAUGUUUCCACCAACUGGAGCCAAAAACAUAAUGUCCUGCGAGGCCCAGCCACCACUUCCCUCCGUCCAGAGGCCGCGGGACCUUCUGUAUCCAGGAACUGCAGGCCCGUCCCAGUGGCAGGUGGCUGGAAAUGACUCAGAAGCAAGUCCCCGUGACUCCCUGGCCACGAGAAGUGCCGGCCUGUGAAAGUUAGAGCGCUCCCGAGCCUCCCACUUCUCCAGCCUAAAAACUCUGGGAAAUUCCUGCGGGAACCCAGCCCGGUUGCUGCGGAGAACGAGGCCGCCAUCUCGGGCCUCUGCGGGGUUCACCUGUCGGCAUUUUUACUCACGCCCCCAUUAACACUGGUCAGAGUGACUUGCUCUCCUGUCCCAACGGCAUCUCCUGUUUUGUAAGUGGCGCAUUCACAGUGUGGGGGGCAGCGGGCCGUGCGGGGCACUCCUGUGGGCACGGGAGCUGGCUGCCCUCCAGGCUGUGGGAAGGGCCACGGGCCCGUGGAGCCCACCUCAGCGCGGGCACCGCACCCAACAGGCUGUCCCGUCCGACUUGGCCUUCCGCGUGAACACAGCAACGGUGUGAGCGCGUGUGGUGAAGUGUGCAAAAGCAGGGGCUAGAGAGAGGUCGGCCACGGGCCUCCCGCUCUGCCCGGUUAUCGGUGCCUGGGUUGAGAAGGAUUCUGAAGUUCAGCUCAGGCUCAGAGGGGAAGAGCAGAGUGACCGUUAACAACGGUUGCUGUGGGCAGAGGGGCUGUUGGUGCUGGUGUCCGCACCUGACACGGGCCAGUCAGGGCAGAUCGCAACCAGGGGAGGGGAGCAGGCGGGUGCACCCCUCCUGCUGGAGAGCGUCCUGCAGAACAGGGAAGGGUGGCAGCAGACGGCCCCGCUCCCAGAGGAAGGAUGGUAGAAGAUGGUGGGGGGGUGCGGGGGAAGGGACAAGAAGCUGGAGAUGCGAGUGUGUGGGCGCUUUCCUCUCUGCCUGCCCGUGGCACCCUGGACCGUCACACGUGCCCUCCCCUGGGACUGAAGCCCCCAGCCCAGAAGAGCUACCUGAUAAGUGCUCAUGGGUUAGAGGGGGUGCCCUGCAGAUGCCAAACAGGUCAGGGUGGGUCCUCGGUGUUCAAAUGAAAGCCCCCCAUAACCCGCCGGCAUACUCUGUGGCGAUGUCUGUGUUUUCCCCACAUGCACAUGAGGGACGUUCAAAGCACCUGUGAGACCUCCGAGACGUGUGUAUUUUAACAAAUAGUUUGGUCCAUGGAGAUGCUAUUUCUGUUUAUUCAACAUAAAGCCAUAUACUUAGGAAG
RNAcentral lists this long non-coding RNA (5133 nucleotides) under Ailuropoda melanoleuca (giant panda). RNAcentral describes it as "lncRNA (ENSAMEG00000027685.1)". The record is from RNAcentral. Lineage: Eukaryota; Metazoa; Chordata; Mammalia; Carnivora; Ursidae.